UUGUCACCCUUUGAUGACUUGAAGACAGUGAGUGCCUUUUGGUAAGAAAAGAUGGCCUCAUCAAAGCGGCACAGAGACAUGUAAAUGUUUCCAAUGCUGACAUCAAUAGCAGCAACUUCAUUCUCUUGUCCAUUUGCAAUCAUAGCCAUACUGGCAAGAACAAGAUGCUCGAGAGCUGAUUCAUAAUCUCCCUUUGCCUCACAUAUGAGGGCCAUCAGUCGACGGUCAGCUGCCUCUUCAAUAGAUGCUGGCUCACUAUGAGCACGAUGAAUUUCAAGAGUUUUCUUGCACAAUUCUUCUGCUUUAUCAAAGUUCAUGGCUUGAACAUUGGCCUCAGCUAAAUACCUGCAAGUCUCCCCAACUCUGGGAUCGGUAUCUCCCAAAGCCUCGAUCUGAAUCUUAAGCCCCUCCUCAUAAGAAGCAAUCGACUUAUCUACCUGUCCAAGCAUCGAGUACGUAUCCCCCAACUGCAUAUACCCAGAAAACGCAGCAAGCGCGUGAUCCAUCCCUUUAGACAAAUCCGGCACCGUAAUGGCCCUGUCGAGAGCGGGCACGGCCUCGUCGAACCUCCCUAGACUGCAAUAAAUAGCAGCCAACACGUGCAGGCUCAUAACGAGGUCCAAACUCGGUUCCCCAUCGACGGCACAUCGCUCAAACGACUUAGACGCACGAAUUGCGUAAUCUAGAGCCUUACCAGGACCCUCCCCGGACGCAAUGGUAUCACGGGCGACCUUGAGAAGGAAAGGACCGAGAUCCGGGUUGUCAAGGGAGGCGUCAGAGAGGAGGAGCGGGUUGGGGGAGUCGGGCGGGGGCUUCUUAGCGGAGCGGGUCGGGGAAGGUUUAGAUCGAGAAGGGGAUGAAGA
RNAcentral lists this unclassified non-coding RNA (863 nucleotides) under Hevea brasiliensis (rubber tree). Lineage: Eukaryota; Viridiplantae; Streptophyta; Magnoliopsida; Malpighiales; Euphorbiaceae. The record is from RNAcentral.